Molecule: long non-coding RNA, 459 nt
Organism: Bubalus bubalis (water buffalo)
Lineage: Eukaryota; Metazoa; Chordata; Mammalia; Artiodactyla; Bovidae
Exons: 2
Source: RefSeq, a predicted model, not a curated record
UAGCAACCCACUCCAGUGUUCUUGCCUGGAGAAUCCCAGGGACGGGGGAGCCUGGUGGGCUGCCGUCUAUGGGAUCAAAGAGUCGGACACGACUGAAGCGACUUCACAGCAGCAGCAGCAGUGGCUCUAUCGUCUACACGAGAUCUGGCGGCGGCAGUGCCUGGAAUGGAGGCGAAUGCUCACCCUGGGAACCCAGCCACCAUGCUGUGAGGAAGCCCAAGCCACACUGGCAGGGUCACAUGGAAAGUGAUCAUGCCUGAGACGCUGAGCCCUGGGCCUUGGCUGAACUCCAGCUGGCAACCAGCACCAAUUUGCCAGCCACGUAAGUGAGCACUCAGAAAAGGGUCCCCCACCCUUCUGUCCUUCCACCCAUUGAGGCACAUGGAACAAAGACAAGUCUUACCUGCCAAGCCCUGCCCAGACUACAGAUUCACAAGCAAAAUAAAUUGUUGUGUGGUU